RNAcentral lists this unclassified non-coding RNA (87 nucleotides) under Pseudomonas orientalis. The record is from RNAcentral. Lineage: Bacteria; Pseudomonadati; Pseudomonadota; Gammaproteobacteria; Pseudomonadales; Pseudomonadaceae.
GUGGGAGGGGGCUUGCCCCCGAUUGCAGUGUGUCAGCCAGUUAAUUUUUAGCUGACCCACAGCCAUCGGGGGCAAGCCCCCUCCCAC